Long non-coding RNA from Pomacea canaliculata, 995 nucleotides. RefSeq lists it as uncharacterized. The record is from RefSeq and is a predicted model, not a curated record. NCBI's taxonomy places the organism in Eukaryota, Metazoa, Mollusca, Gastropoda, Architaenioglossa, Ampullariidae. The transcript is spliced from 5 exons.
CCAGUUGUCAGACCGGCUCCACCCUCUGGAGGUCCACAGUCACCCAUCAGAUGGCCACAAGGCGGGCAGGGACCAGCCUCAGGACCUGGCAGUGGGUCUGCCGUCAGUGCUGAAUCAAAUGAAAGCGGCGACGAGUCGACAGGAAGUGCUGAAUCAGAUGAAAGUGUCGACGCGUCGGUAGAAGGGGGCAGUCGAGGAGGUCUCUCAGGCCACGGAGGACUUGUGGGAAUUGCUCAGUCAUUAGUAUAAACUGGUCGACAAUCGACAAUUGUGAAUGAUGUGUGUGGCAUGCUUUUACAGCCUUAAGGCGUUUAAUAUAAAUUAUUGAAAUAUAUUAUUAGUAUAAGAUUUUACCUCUAGUCAAUAAAUCCAUAGACUGCUUUUUUUAUUUUCAUCCUUUUUUGUUUCUUGUACUUGUUAACUGCAUUCUAUUCUCGCCAUCUUCAUUUUUAUGCUUGUGUACUUAUCUGCCAUUGGCUCAGAUUAGUUUAGGAAAGAGUCACGCUCUCGUUAACAUUGAAGUGUCUCUGCUUGACAAACUGUCGAGCAUUAGGCUGCCUGACUGUUAGUGUCACGCUGUCUCACCGCCGAUGUUUCAAUAAACAAAUAACUGUCAUGUUUUGUGACUGACGGGUCAAGUGUCAUUUUGCAGCCUCCAGACCUCAGCAGCCGACGUCAUCUCAGAAACGUAGCAGCUCGGAGAGACACUGAAGGUAACAAACGUGAAUCACAUACAACAGCCGCCUGGUGAGGAUCAUUUGACACACCUAACUUGAGAUAUCGACUACAUCACACGAUCUCUUCCUUAACAUUAAAGGUCCAAAUGGAAAGUAAACAGCAGAUUUCCGUCUGGCUAUUAAACUAAUUGAAACUACAAAUGGCGGGAGUCUGGCAGUCCUGUCCAUGUCAGCUUUACAAUGGUACAACGUUUACCUUGUGUACUGAUCGGUGACUUUUAAAUUUGGAAGUAUGGUCUAAUAAACAUGUGCAUUUCA